This 502-nucleotide ribosomal RNA is filed under the name uncultured bacterium. RNAcentral describes it as "bacterial SSU rRNA". It matches the Rfam family "Bacterial small subunit ribosomal RNA", at positions 28 to 516 of the family's 1533-position model. The record is from RNAcentral.
GAUGAACGCUAGCGGCAGGCUUAACACAUGCAAGUCGAGGGGCAGCAUGACACGGAGAUUCGUCGAAGUGUUGAUGGCGACCGGCGCAAGGGUGCGUAACGCGUGAGCAACUUGCCCGUUUCUGGGGAAUAACCGGUGGAAACGCCGACUAAUACCCCAUGGUAUUGAUCAGAGGCAUCUUUGGUCAAUUAAAGAAUUUCGGAAACGGAUAGGCUCGCGUGACAUUAGCUAGAUGGCGGGGUAACGGCCCACCAUGGCGACGAUGUCUAGGGGUUCUGAGAGGAAGGUCCCCCACACUGGAACUGAGACACGGUCCAGACUCCUACGGGAGGCAGCAGUGAGGAAUAUUGGUCAAUGGCCGGGAGGCUGAACCAGCCAAGUAGCGUGAAGGAUGAAGGUUCUAUGGAUUGUAAACUUCUUUUAUACGGGAAUAAAACCUCCCACGUGUGGGAGCUUGUAUGUACCGUAUGAAUAAGCAUCGGCUAACUCCGUGCCAGCAGCC